Molecule: ribosomal RNA, 321 nt
Filed under: Triticum aestivum (bread wheat)
Lineage: Eukaryota; Viridiplantae; Streptophyta; Magnoliopsida; Poales; Poaceae
Description: partial small subunit ribosomal RNA
Source: RNAcentral
AUGGAGAACAACCACCCGGUGGCCUACUUAAGUAAAGCUCUGGCCCCUCAUAACAUGGGACUGUCGGCCUACGAAAAAGAAUGGCUGGCUCUCCUUUUGGCAGUGGAUCACUGGCGGCCCUACCUCCAGCACGCAGAAUUUGUAGUGCGGACAGAUCAAAAGAGCUUGCUCAACUUAACAGAUCAGAGAUUUAACACGCCAAUACAGCAGCGAGCGUCUACCAAACUGAUUGGACUGCAGUUUACUAUUCAGUAUAAAGCAAGACUGACCAACAAAGCUGCGGACGCGCUAUCUCGUCGCGCACCUGGACAGGAAACAUAA